Molecule: ribosomal RNA, 452 nt
Filed under: uncultured bacterium
Lineage: Bacteria
Description: bacterial SSU rRNA
Rfam family: Bacterial small subunit ribosomal RNA
Source: RNAcentral
UUACGGAAGGCAGCAGUGGGGAAUUUUGCGCAAUGGGCGAAAGCCUGACGCAGCAACGCCGCGUGGAGGAUGAAGGUUUUCGGAUCGUAAACUCCUGUCAGGGGGGACGAAGGCGGGGCAACCCGUUUGACUGUACCCUCUGAGGAAGCCACGGCUAACUCCGUGCCAGCAGCCGCGGUAAUACGGAGGUGGCAAGCGUUGUUCGGAAUUACUGGGCGUAAAGGGCGCGUAGGCGGCUUGGCAAGUCAGAUGUGAAAGCCCCGGGCUUAACCUGGGAAUUGCAUCUGAAACUGCUUUGCUUGAGUCCUGGAGGGGGUAGUGGAAUUCCCAGUGUAGCGGUGAAAUGCGUAGAUAUUGGGAGGAACACCGGCGGCGAAGGCGGCUACCUGGACAGUGACUGACGCUGAGGCGCGAAAGCUAGGGGAGCGAACGGGAUUAGAUACCCCGGUAGG